Molecule: long non-coding RNA, 318 nt
Organism: Grammomys surdaster
Lineage: Eukaryota; Metazoa; Chordata; Mammalia; Rodentia; Muridae
Exons: 3
Source: RefSeq, a predicted model, not a curated record
ACAGCUCUGGCAUUUGUUCAAUAAGACCAGUAUCAGCCUCCUGUAUUCUGACUGCAGACUGGCAUUGCUCAGGCCUGAAAAAGAUGGAGCAGCCACAGGAGUAGAUGCCAUCUGCACUCAUCAUGCAGACCCAACUGGACCUGGGCUGGACAAUGAACGGGUAUUCUGGGAACUGAGCAAUCUGACCAACAAGGUUACUCAGCUGGGUCCUUACACCUUAGACAAGAACAGCCUUUACAUCAAUGGUUAUACACACCAGAUCCAGUACACCACAUCUCCAAGUGAGUAUUCAGAGGCUCAUCAAGUCUCUCCUAUGCU